RNAcentral lists this ribosomal RNA (770 nucleotides) under Acinetobacter baumannii. RNAcentral's name for it is "bacterial SSU rRNA". It matches the Rfam family "Bacterial small subunit ribosomal RNA", at positions 1 to 765 of the family's 1533-position model. The record is from RNAcentral. Lineage: Bacteria; Pseudomonadati; Pseudomonadota; Gammaproteobacteria; Moraxellales; Moraxellaceae.
UAACUGAAGAGUUUGAUCAUGGCUCAGAUUGAACGCUGGCGGCAGGCUUAACACAUGCAAGUCGAGCGGGGGAAGGUAGCUUGCUACCGGACCUAGCGGCGGACGGGUGAGUAAUGCUUAGGAAUCUGCCUAUUAGUGGGGGACAACAUCUCGAAAGGGAUGCUAAUACCGCAUACGUCCUACGGGAGAAAGCAGGGGAUCUUCGGACCUUGCGCUAAUAGAUGAGCCUAAGUCGGAUUAGCUAGUUGGUGGGGUAAAGGCCUACCAAGGCGACGAUCUGUAGCGGGUCUGAGAGGAUGAUCCGCCACACUGGGACUGAGACACGGCCCAGACUCCUACGGGAGGCAGCAGUGGGGAAUAUUGGACAAUGGGGGGAACCCUGAUCCAGCCAUGCCGCGUGUGUGAAGAAGGCCUUAUGGUUGUAAAGCACUUUAAGCGAGGAGGAGGCUACUUUAGUUAAUACCUAGGGAUAGUGGACGUUACUCGCAGAAUAAGCACCGGCUAACUCUGUGCCAGCAGCCGCGGUAAUACAGAGGGUGCGAGCGUUAAUCGGAUUUACUGGGCGUAAAGCGUGCGUAGGCGGCUUAUUAAGUCGGAUGUGAAAUCCCCGAGCUUAACUUGGGAAUUGCAUUCGAUACUGGUGAGCUAGAGUAUGGGAGAGGAUGGUAGAAUUCCAGGUGUAGCGGUGAAAUGCGUAGAGAUCUGGAGGAAUACCGAUGGCGAAGGCAGCCAUCUGGCCUAAUACUGACGCUGAGGUACGAAAGCAUGGG